GUAUAGUAAGGCGUCAAAAAAGGUAAAAAAAAAUGUCAUAGUAUAGUAUGGCGUCAAAGACGCUCAAAAAAUGUCAUAGUAUAGUAUGGCGUCAAAAAUGGUCAAAAAAUGUCAUAGUAUAAAAAGGUGUCAAAAAUGGUCAAAAAUGGUCAAAAAAUGUCAUAGUAUAGUAUGGCGUCAAAAACGCUCAAAAAAUGUCAUAGUAUAGUAAGGUGACAAAAUUCAUCAAAAAAUGACAUAGUAUAGUAUGGCGUCAAAAAAGGUCAAAAAAUGUCAUAGUAUAGUAAGGCAUCAAAAAAGGUCAAAAAAUGUCAUAGUAUAAAAAGGUGUCAAAAAUGGUCAAAAAAUGUCAUAGUAUAGUAAGGCGUCAAAAAAUGUCAUAGUAUAGUAUGGCGUCAAAAAAGGUCAAAAAAAUGUCAUAGUAUAGUAAGGCUUCAAAAAAGGUCAAAAAAUGUCAAAGUAUAGUAAGGCGUCAAAAAAGGUCAAAAAAUGUCAUAGUAUAGUAAGGCUUCAAAAAAGGUCAAAAAAUGUCAUAGUAUAGUAUGACGUCAAAAACGCUCAAAAAAAUGUCAUAGUAUAGUAUGGCGUCAAAAACGCUCAAAAAAUGUCAUAGUAGAGUAUGGCGUCAAAAACGGUCAAAAAAUGUCAUAGUAUAGUAAGGCAUCAAAAAUGGCCAAAAAAUGUCAUAGUAUAAAAAGGUGUCAAAAAUGGUCAAAAAUGGUCAAAAAAUGUCAUAGUAUAAUAAGGUGUCAAAAAUGGUCAAAAAUGGUCAAAAAAUGUCAUAGUAUAGUAAGGUGUCAAAAAAGGUCAAAAAAUGUCAUAGUAUAGUAUGGCGUCAAAAACGCUCAAAAAUGUCAUAGUAUAGUAAGGCGUCAAAAAA
Molecule: long non-coding RNA, 880 nt
Organism: Lates calcarifer (barramundi perch)
Lineage: Eukaryota; Metazoa; Chordata; Actinopteri; Centropomidae
Exons: 5
Source: RefSeq, a predicted model, not a curated record